UCCCCUCUGGUUCAGAUGGUGAAGAAUCUGCCUGCAAUGCAGGAGACCUGGGUUCGGAUCCUGGGUUGGGAA
Non-coding RNA from Bos taurus (domestic cattle), 72 nucleotides. NCBI's taxonomy places the organism in Eukaryota, Metazoa, Chordata, Mammalia, Artiodactyla, Bovidae. The record is from Rfam.